This 468-nucleotide ribosomal RNA is filed under the name uncultured bacterium. RNAcentral describes it as "partial 16S ribosomal RNA". It matches the Rfam family "Bacterial small subunit ribosomal RNA", at positions 28 to 507 of the family's 1533-position model. The record is from RNAcentral.
GACGAACGCUGGCGGCGUGCUUAACACAUGCAAGUCGAACGGAAAGGCCCUGCUUUUGUGGGGUGCUCGAGUGGCGAACGGGUGAGUAACACGUGAGUAACCUGCCUUUGACUUUGGGAUAACUUCAGGAAACUGGGGCUAAUACCGGAUAGGAGCUCCUGCUGCAUGGUGGGGGUUGGAAAGUUUCGGCGGUUGGGGAUGGACUCGCGGCUUAUCAGCUUGUUGGUGGGGUAGUGGCUUACCAAGGCUUUGACGGGUAGCCGGCCUGAGAGGGUGACCGGCCACAUUGGGAAUGAGAUACGGCCCAGACUCCUACGGGAGGCAGCAGUGGGGAAUAUUGCACAAUGGGCGGAAGCCUGAUGCAGCAACGCCGCGUGCGGGAUGACGGCCUUCGGGUUGUAAACCGCUUUCGCCUGUGACGAAGCGUGAGUGACGGUAAUGGGUAAAGAAGCACCGGCUAACUACGUG